AACGAACGCUGGCGGCAUGCCUAACACAUGCAAGUCGAACGAGACCUUCGGGUCUAGUGGCGCACGGGUGCGUAACGCGUGGGAACCUGCCCUUAGGUUCGGAAUAACUCCCCGAAAGGGGUGCUAAUACCGGAUAAUGUCUUCGGACCAAAGAGUUAUCGCCUUUGGAUGGGCCCGCGUUGGAUUAGCUAGUUGGUAGGGUACAAGCCUACCAAGGCGACGAUCCAUAGCUGGUCGGAGAGGAUGAUCAGCCACACUGGGACUGAGACACGGCCCAGACUCGUACGGGAGGCAGCAGUGGGGAAUAUUGGACAAUGGGCGAAAGCCUGAUACAGCCAUGCCGCGUGAGUGAUGAAGGGCUUAGGGUUGUAAAGCUCUUUUAGCCGGGAUGAUAAUGACAGUACCGGGUGAAUAAGCUCCGGCUAACUCCGUG
RNAcentral lists this ribosomal RNA (433 nucleotides) under uncultured bacterium. RNAcentral's name for it is "partial 16S ribosomal RNA". It matches the Rfam family "Bacterial small subunit ribosomal RNA", at positions 29 to 507 of the family's 1533-position model. The record is from RNAcentral.